Molecule: ribosomal RNA, 505 nt
Filed under: uncultured bacterium
Lineage: Bacteria
Description: partial 16S ribosomal RNA
Rfam family: Bacterial small subunit ribosomal RNA
Source: RNAcentral
GACGAACGCUGGCGGCGUGCCUAAUACAUGCAAGUAGAACGCACAGUUUAUACCGUAGCUUGCUACACCAUAGACUGUGAGUUGCGAACGGGUGAGUAACGCGUAGGUAACCUGCCUGGUAGCGGGGGAUAACUAUUGGAAACGAUAGCUAAUACCGCAUAAUAUUGAUUAUUGCAUGAUAAUUAAUUGAAAGGUGCAAUUGCACCACUACCAGAUGGACCUGCGUUGUAUUAGCUAGUAGGUGAGGUAACGGCUCACCUAGGCGACGAUACAUAGCCGACCUGAGAGGGUGAUCGGCCACACUGGGACUGAGACACGGCCCAGACUCCUACGGGAGGCAGCAGUAGGGAAUCUUCGGCAAUGGACGAAAGUCUGACCGAGCAACGCCGCGUGAGUGAAGAAGGUUGUCGGAUCGUAAAGCUCGGUUGUAAGAGAAGAACGGGUGUGAGAGUGGAAAGUUCACACUGUGACGGUAUCUUACCAGAAAGGGACGGCUAACUACGUG